This 4896-nucleotide long non-coding RNA is filed under the name Gallus gallus (chicken). Its description in RNAcentral is "lncRNA (ENSGALG00010010309.1)". The record is from RNAcentral. Lineage: Eukaryota; Metazoa; Chordata; Aves; Galliformes; Phasianidae.
UUCUCUCCUGCCUGCAAAUAUGGCAUCAGGAAACAUAAACACCUACAAGAUAAAAGCAAAACCUAAUCCUAGAAAAACAAGCCUGACUAUUUACUCACCCAGAUCUAACUCUGGACUAGACCCAUGCAACUCACACCAGAGCCUACCAGCAGCUACUGCUGGUCAUGCUGCUAUGAGAACUGCCUUCACAGAGAGCCUAAAAAUCAGGCAGGAAAUCAGAUACAAAGAAGAACAUGGGGUAACAAGACAGUGACACUUUCCUGUAAGAAGACCAUAAAUCUUUAUACAAGGGGGCGGACUGGAGAACGUCAGGGGUUUCCAUGUGUGAGUGUUUAAAAUAAAACCUUAUUCAUGCUGGAGUGGGGAAGAAAAGAACUGGCAAGCUGGGAACACAAAAAGAGAAAAGGAGGAACCUUAAAAUAUGAGGAUUGACUGGGUCUUGAGCUCUGAAGGAGGGAGGAGGGCGGAUGCCCCGGCGGUCUCUCGGCGGGGACAUGCUGCCAUCCAGCGGCUGCGGCCACGCGGCCCCGAGGAUGUGGAUGUCCCGGAGCACCGCGCCCCGCGCUGCCCCCUGGGGGCGGAGGAUGCUUCGAGGAGUGGUGUUGGGGUCCGACGCCCCCGGCUGAUCCAGCCCCCCUGCCCCACUGCUCUUGUAGCCCUUCAGCAAAAAUGUUCAUGGAAGAGAGAGUCACUUACAGCCAUUCAUGCAAUUAUGGUGGCUUGGAGGAAACAGAUGAUUUGACAUGGAGUAGAUUUGCAGCCAAGACCCCAUUGCAAGCAGGACCUGAGUUCUUUGGAAGAGUCAUGAGCUGGGGGUGAUUGCCCUGUGAAGAGAGUUUUUUUUUCCAGAGUGCCUGUGAAUGAAGAUAUGGUCCCUGCUCAGAAAAUCUGACCCAAAUACUCUUCUCCUAAAUGGCACAACUACUGUGAAAGCCAAUUACUGCACCGUGGGUUCUUCAGAUCCGUAGCUUCUCAAAAUUAAUAUAAGUGCUGGAAAAGAUACCGGAAAAAAGAUCAGUUAUGGAUAAUCUGAGUCUUGAUGUGCUUCCCUGGGAUUUACAGUUAACCUCUGAUCCAAUUAAAGGCUGUGGAGGGACUAUACACAAAAGUAGUGCUGUAGUUCCUUUCCCUUGUAUUUUACAUCCCCAAUGAAUAUUCUGUAUCUACAGGCACCACAAAUGACAAUUCAGAGAGUCAGUUAGAAGUCUCAGCAAAAUUCCUGGUGUCUUGGCACAGGACCUCCUAAUGGGGGUCAUUCAGAGGGAAACCUGCUGAGGGUGACUGGGAAGAAGGAGUCAUUGCCUCUGAGGGAGCCUUCUGUCCACAUCUCAGGACUUGUGACACUGCUUCAGAAAGAAAGCUUAAGUUGUUAGAGCAGAGAAAAUCUUCAUUACGGUACCCCACCCUCAGGCAUGUGAAAGACAAGCAGCUCAGCACCUUCCAGAGUCAGGCCCAUAAAGAUGAGAGGCUCUGGAACUUGAGGGACAGGUAAGUGAGGAUGUGGUGGAAGGUCCACCCAGGAGGUUAUCUAGGGCAAGGAGGCUGACUCCACAUCCCAAGACUGCAUCUGACAAGAAGACAAUCACUGUGGGCAACUCCCUUCUGAGAGGAACGGACAGCCCCAUAUACUGGCCAGACCUUACUCAUAGGGAAGUGUACUGCCUCCCUGGGUGAGGGUCAGGGAUGUUACUAGAAGGCUCCCUAGUAUGGUUCACCCUCUGUUUAUUAUCCCUUAUUGGUACUUCAGGCUGGCAGUGAUGAAGUCACUGAGAGAAGCUUGAGAGCUAUCAAAAGGAACUUCAGGUGGCUGGGGCAGUUUGUGGACAGAGAGGAAGUACAGUUGGUUUUUCUCUGUCCCUUCAGUGGCAGGGAGGAACACUGAGAGGACCAGGAAAUCCCAUCUGAUAAAUACAUGGCUGAGAGGCUGGUGCUGCUGUAGGAAUUUUGGCUUUUUUGAUCAUAGGGCCGUUUACUCAGCACCUGGCUACAAAUGAGGUCCACCUAGGUCAAUGGGGGAAAGGAAUUCUGGCCCAGGAGCUGUUUGGGCUUGUUGACAGGGCUUUAAACUAGGUUUGAAGGGGGAAGGGAGUGAUACCGAGCCUGCCCAUGACAAGGUGUGGGAUAGCAUAUCUAAGUUAAAGGGACAAGAUGCUAGUAGGGGCCCUCAAUCUGUUGCAUUUUAUAAUGAAUAUACUAGGCAUCGAGCUGUCAGGGCUCAUCACCAUGGCUUUAAAAUAGAUUUGAUGGUGGAAGAGGAUGUAGUGCCAAGGAACAAAGAGUCAGGGAACAUUGUCACUUUAAGAAGCAGAGGAGAAAACCUCAGAUUUGUCCCAGGGGUUUUUGGGAGGGCUCCUCCAAGAAGAUAAUGUGGCCAAAAGCCCAACUGAAGUGCCUCUAUGCCAAUGCACGCAGAAUGGGAAAUAAGCAGGAGGAAUUGGAAACUGUGACGUAAUUGGAAAACUAUGAUCUUACUGCUAUCACAGAAACAUGGUGGGAUGACUCACAUCUGAAACACUGAAACACCAUGAUUGAGGGUUAUAGGCUUUUUAGAAGGGAUAGGCAAGAUAGGAGAGGUGGGGAAGUUGCUCUGUAUAUUAAGAAGUAGAUAGACUGCAAAAAGCUGCCGCUGGGAAACAGUUAUGAAGAGGCUGAGAGCUUGUGAGUUAAAAAAAUUAGGGACUGGACCAAUAAAGGGCAUCUGGUGAUGGGGUCUACUCCAAGCUACCUGAUAAAGUGAGGCUGUUGACAAGGCCUUCUUACUUCAGCUGCAAGAGACAUUGCGCUCACAGGCUUUCAUCCUAAUGAAGGAUUUCAACCGCUCAGAUAUCUGCUGGGAAAACAACAGGGCAGCCUGCAAGCAGUCCUGGAAACUCCUGAAGUCCACUGAUGACAAUUUUCUGGUUCACAUAUUGGACAGACACAGCAGAGGUGAAGCACUUCUGGACCUGGUGCUCACCAACGCAGAAGAGAUCAUAAAAGAAGUUACAAUCAGAGGCAGCCUGAGCUGCAGCAACUAUGCCCUGGUUGAGUUUGUGAUCUCAAGGAAUGUGGAAGCAGUGAUGGGUGGCCUGGGAAAAUAUAGGGAUGCUGUCUGGAUGUGCAAGGAUGGAGUCUGGAAAACUGAGGCGCAAAUGGAAUUGGAUUUGGUCAGGGAUGUGAAAAACAACAAGGGAUGCAAACAAGACAAAAUAGAGGGGUCAGCGUUCUGCACAGUGACUCACUCCAGUGCUAUUACAGAAAAGGAUGUUUUAAUGUGCUGCUUCCCAUCCAAACUUCAUGAAAUGGGAAGCCUCCCAGAACUCUUCCAGAAGCCCAGCUGGAACUCCCCACUAUGAAAAACACUUCAACGUGAAUUAGAAAGUUUGCAAGAAAACCAUUACAAAACAGUACCAUCCUUGGCUAUACUAUGCGGUACUUCCCACAUAUUAGGAUCUCCAAAGAAUGUCAUUUUUGCCUUGAAAAAGUAUCCCAAGCUAUUCCCAUCUGCAAGGACAAUCUCUUUACUCCACUCUCAGAAUUUCUGAUGUCCCAGCUAUACCAGAGAUUACACCACGGACAUUGUGACAAGUUAAAAACCUGAAGUACUACGUCAUCUGAUGGUACAUGAGUGCUUCCUCCUGUGCCUGACUUUACUUUGGACCUGGGAACAAGAGCUAAGACAAAGCAUGGAUUUUCUGUCUGAGUGUUUGCAGACGCUUCUAUUACAUGAUCACAUUAUAGCGCUGUUGAAAACUGCUGUCAGCCCGUUAAAUAACACCGGACAGGUACUUAGGAUCUUCCAUUACCACAAUAAUGACAUAUCUCCCAAGUUUUGAAACAUCGGCUCAAGUUGCUCCCAGCUGUUCCACCGCAGCUCGUUUUCCUGCCAAUCACCACAUGGUGGUGGUGUAUCACCAUGAGUUCAGUGUUCGGGUCUGACUCCUGAGAGCUGAAUAGUUGGUUUAAGAAAGCUGGAUAUUUACAGCACAGCACAUUUACAAGGAUGCUUGUAGAGUGAACCCUCUAAAUCCAGUUUACCUUUGAAUUUAUAUGCAUUGCUUAACUGCUUUGCAUAGAGAACUGUCUGGCUUUCCAGUCAGGAAUCUCCCAGAGUAUUUCAAGCAACAUAUUUAUAACUCCAGGUGCAUCCACAUGCAGAAGGAUUUGAAGUCACAUGUGAUUUAUUUGUCCAUCUGCUUCAUCUCAACCUAUUUUGUUUCAUUUUGUUCUUGUUCUUGUUUUGUUUUGCUUUAAUAAUCCUUUGAUACUUAAUCAUCCAUUUCCUAUGGAAAAAAAAAAAAAAAAGUGCUCCCAAGAAUUCCAAUAGAGUCCAGGAAGGCUGAAUGCCUACUCUUCUGAAUUUGCUCCUAAAAGUCUUCUUCUGCAAAGCGUUUCAGCCACCCUUCACCAAAGUCAGGCAAUAAAAAGAAGGUGUACUGCAUUGCCAUUGUGUUUUUCAGCCCAUUCACAUUAUAGACCUUAAAUUAGCUAUUAUAUGUCCUUAGCUGAAUGUGGACAGUGACAGCCCAAUCGAAGACAGAGUGAAGUCAAUGGGAACCUUUCAGUUCUCCCUCAUUUGGCCCUGAAUCAAGUUCAAAGUUGUCUGAUUCAAGAAACAGAUCUUCUGUGUUUUUACAAAGAUGAUUUUUCUCCAGUAUGGAUAUAGGUUACAAAAAAAUUCCAUUAGGGCUUUGUGCACAAAAGAAGCUAUAUGUAACAAUGACAGCAUGUCUCAAACCAACAGAGAGAUUAGCUCUACUUUAAUUGGUUUGAAACAAGGGCACAUCAUCAACAGGGACGGGAGAACUGGCUUGGACUUAAUGAGAAAUGCAUCAUUUCCCACUCACAAACUUACUGCAGACUUACCCUGAACUUUCUAAAUCAAAACUGUUUUAAUAAACUUUUUUGUUGCAUUGC